UGGCCCCAGAGGGCGGGAGGCAGUCGUGGGGGGUUUCACGUCCCCCAGGCGCCAGCCAGCCCCUCAGCACGGCCGCGGGCUCAGGGGACCCUGCAGCGCCCCGCUAUGCCCCCGCUGUGCCCGGACGCCGCAGGGCUCCCGGCGAGGCUCAGCCCAAGGAGCAGGGGCUGAGGCUGCAGGCAAGUGACCGACAGGGAAAUGAGAGUUUCAUUGUGUUUCAGGCCGAAAAGUGUUUGAAAAAUGCAGCAAGCUGCCCUGCACGUGGCUGCGGCUCAGGGAGCUGGCUUUCUGGCACAGCUGUACUGAAUGUAUGGACGAGUCCCUGACCCAAAGAACUUGCAAACGAGUUUUGGAUUUCAUAGGCAAACAAGGACAUGGCAGUUCACAGGAAUGCGGAGGGACAGGAGAAUACAGAUUAUAAAAGGAACAGGUCUCAGUUGCUCCGCCUGUGCCUGUCCAUCUCAGUGACAUCCUUACUUCUGGAAACACAUUGAUUAUUUAAAUCAUAGUUGAGCCUCAAAUACUCUGUGGGUCCCCAAAGAUGGAGCCCCUUGCCUACACAUGCCCACCCGAGU
RNAcentral lists this long non-coding RNA (575 nucleotides) under Dromaius novaehollandiae (emu). RNAcentral's name for it is "lncRNA (ENSDNVG00000001842.1)". Lineage: Eukaryota; Metazoa; Chordata; Aves; Casuariiformes; Dromaiidae. The record is from RNAcentral.